UGGAGACUGGACCGGAGGUGGGGGAGAGUGUACUGGAGGGGGCGGAGAGUGGACAGGAGGCGGCGGAGAGUGUACCGGAGGGGGCGGAGAGUGGACCGGAGGCGGCGGAGAUUGGACCGGAGGUGGCGGAGAGUGGACAGGAGGCGGCGGAGAGUGGACUGGAGGCGGAGGUGAGCUGACAGGUGGUGGUGAAUGAACAGGUUCUGGUGGUGGAGACGAGGGAACUGGUGGUGGCAGCGGUGGAGAGGAAACAGGCUUUGGUGGUGGCGAGGCAACAGGUUUUGGUGGUGGCAGCGGCGGUGAGGAAACAGGUUUUGGUGGUGGUUUUGCGACCGCAGGUGGAGGAGAUGAGUCCGAUCCGCCGGUAGGUGGUGGAGCAGCAUUCACUGGCUUCUCAGG
This 399-nucleotide long non-coding RNA is filed under the name Salvia miltiorrhiza (redroot sage). RNAcentral's name for it is "long non-coding RNA (SMIL_LNC006378)". The record is from RNAcentral. Lineage: Eukaryota; Viridiplantae; Streptophyta; Magnoliopsida; Lamiales; Lamiaceae.